UCAACCUAGUACGAGAGGA
Molecule: small nuclear RNA, 19 nt
Filed under: Arabidopsis thaliana (thale cress)
Lineage: Eukaryota; Viridiplantae; Streptophyta; Magnoliopsida; Brassicales; Brassicaceae
Description: snRNA_02708
Source: RNAcentral